RNAcentral lists this ribosomal RNA (200 nucleotides) under Escherichia coli. Its description in RNAcentral is "partial 16S ribosomal RNA". It matches the Rfam family "Bacterial small subunit ribosomal RNA", at positions 1 to 208 of the family's 1533-position model. The record is from RNAcentral. Lineage: Bacteria; Pseudomonadati; Pseudomonadota; Gammaproteobacteria; Enterobacterales; Enterobacteriaceae.
AAAUUGAAGAGUUUGAUCAUGGCUCAGAUUGAACGCUGGCGGCAGGCCUAACACAUGCAAGUCGAACGGUAACAGGAAGAAGCUUGCUUCUUUGCUGACGAGUGGCGGACGGGUGAGUAAUGUCUGGGAAACUGCCUGAUGGAGGGGGAUAACUGCUGGAAACGGUAGCUAAUACCGCAUAACGUCGCAAGACCAAAGAG